CAGAAAUAGAGCUGUUCGGUUUAAUUCGAUUUUUCAUCCAUUUUGAUUUGAUUCAAUUUUUAAAAUAUAAAAUUUAAUUUUCAUAAUUUAGCACAUCCAAAAAUCUUUCUGUACAUAUAGCUAUACACUGUAAUUUCUCGUAUAAUAGAUGCUCCUCAAAAAGUGGUGGUGGUCAUGAGGGUGACAUCUGUAAUUUCAAUCGUCGAAAAUGGGCAAUUGCGUCAUAACGAAAAAAAG
RNAcentral lists this unclassified non-coding RNA (237 nucleotides) under Hevea brasiliensis (rubber tree). Lineage: Eukaryota; Viridiplantae; Streptophyta; Magnoliopsida; Malpighiales; Euphorbiaceae. The record is from RNAcentral.